RNAcentral lists this transfer RNA (74 nucleotides) under Achromobacter denitrificans. Its description in RNAcentral is "tRNA-Arg". It matches the Rfam family "tRNA". From Rfam's summary of the family: Transfer RNA (tRNA) molecules are approximately 80 nucleotides in length. Their secondary structure includes four short double-helical elements and three loops (D, anti-codon, and T loops). RNAcentral also lists the same sequence under 3 other names. Lineage: Bacteria; Pseudomonadati; Pseudomonadota; Betaproteobacteria; Burkholderiales; Alcaligenaceae. The record is from RNAcentral.
GCGACGUUAGCUCAGUUGGAUAGAGCAAUUGCCUUCUAAGCAAUAGGUCAGAGGUUCGAAUCCUCUACGUCGCG